UGGUACCUACGGGACGCAGCAGUGAGGAAUAUUGGUCAAUGGGCUUACGCCUGAACCAGCCACGUCGCGUGAGGGAAGACUGCCCUAUGGGUUGUAAACCUCUUUUGUCAGGGAGCAACGCCGGCUACGUGUAGCCGGACUGAGAGUACCUGAAGAAAAAGCAUCGGCUAACUCCGUGCCAGCAGCCGCGGUAAUACGGAGGAUGCGAGCGUUAUCCGGAUUUAUUGGGUUUAAAGGGUGCGUAGGCGGACGGUCAAGUCAGCGGUAAAAAUGCGGUGCUCAACGCCGUACAGCCGUUGAAACUG
Molecule: ribosomal RNA, 305 nt
Filed under: uncultured bacterium
Lineage: Bacteria
Description: bacterial SSU rRNA
Rfam family: Bacterial small subunit ribosomal RNA
Source: RNAcentral